This is a non-coding RNA of Parelaphostrongylus tenuis, 78 nucleotides long. The record is from the annotation of a GenBank genome assembly. Lineage: Eukaryota; Metazoa; Nematoda; Chromadorea; Rhabditida; Metastrongylidae.
GCCUUAGACGGUGGUGUAGUGGUAGUAGCACGCGUCCCCGGUAUGGAUGAAACGCAGGUUCGAUUCCCGCCUGAGGCC